This 204-nucleotide microRNA precursor is filed under the name Oryza sativa Indica Group (long-grained rice). Its description in RNAcentral is "MIR812 microRNA precursor family". It matches the Rfam family "MIR812 microRNA precursor family". The record is from Rfam by way of RNAcentral. Lineage: Eukaryota; Viridiplantae; Streptophyta; Magnoliopsida; Poales; Poaceae.
UAUAAGAGAUUUUGAGUUUUUACUUGCAACGUUUGACCACUCGUCUUAUUCAAAAAUUUUUGAAAUUAUUAUUUAUUUUAUUUGUGACUUACUUUAUUAUCUACAGUACUUUAAGCAUAACUUUUCGUUUUUUAUAUUUACAAAAAAAAUUGAAUAAGACGAGUGGUCAAACGUUACAAGCAAAAACUCAAAAUCCCUUGUAUC